GGGCAGGAAGGGAAAAGCUAAAACCGACCUUGUAGGAGUAUAUAAGGAGUCCUAGGCGAGAGGCACAAAGAAAAACUUUUUCAGAGCAAACUUAGCACUUAGAGCAAUUUUAGACAACUUUCCGUUUUUUUUAUUCGAGCUGCAACUCAAUUAGGUCUUGCAGUCUUAGGGUUUUAAAACUAGGAAUCGUGCCGAUAGCUCUCGUAGCCCAUGCUCUUACCUUGUUG
RNAcentral lists this long non-coding RNA (227 nucleotides) under Brassica napus (rape). RNAcentral's name for it is "long non-coding RNA (BNAP_LNC013982)". Lineage: Eukaryota; Viridiplantae; Streptophyta; Magnoliopsida; Brassicales; Brassicaceae. The record is from RNAcentral.